This 21-nucleotide non-coding RNA is filed under the name Arabidopsis thaliana (thale cress). The record is from RNAcentral. Lineage: Eukaryota; Viridiplantae; Streptophyta; Magnoliopsida; Brassicales; Brassicaceae.
AAAUCGUUCGUCUGACUUGGG